This 258-nucleotide ribosomal RNA is filed under the name uncultured bacterium. RNAcentral describes it as "partial 16S ribosomal RNA". It matches the Rfam family "Bacterial small subunit ribosomal RNA", at positions 75 to 334 of the family's 1533-position model. The record is from RNAcentral.
CUUGCUUUCUUUGCUGGCGACCGGCGCACGGGUGAGUAACACGUAUCCAACCUGCCCUUUACUCGGGGAUAGCCUUUCGAAAGAAAGAUUAAUACCCGAUAGCAUAAUGAUUCCGCACGGUUUCAUUAUUAAAGGAUUCCGGUAAAGGAUGGGGAUGCGUUCCAUUAGGUUGUUGGUGGGGUAACGGCCCACCAAGCCUUCGAUGGAUAGGGGUUCUGAGAGGAAGGUCCCCCACAUUGGAACUGAGACACGGUCCAA